Long non-coding RNA from Rosa rugosa (rugosa rose), 548 nucleotides. RefSeq lists it as uncharacterized. The transcript has 3 exons. NCBI's taxonomy places the organism in Eukaryota, Viridiplantae, Streptophyta, Magnoliopsida, Rosales, Rosaceae. The record is from RefSeq and is a predicted model, not a curated record.
CCAUAGUAAUAGAACCCAGAAUCAAACUCUAGACAAUGUUAGGGCAAGAGAAAAAGAAAAAAACCUUAUGAAAGAACGAUAAUAUAUCUCUGCUCAAUCGGAUCAAUCCUACACAAGGGUAGUGUUAGGACCUCCAUUGAGUUUCAUAAUGGAUGUGAAAUCUAGCGACCCAUCACCUCAACCUGCUGCCGACCUGCCAUUCCCUCCGGUCAAAAAUAAUGCUACUCAAAAUGCUGAGAGUGCAAAAGGGGUUUCUGGGGUUCUUGGAUCGUUUAGUCUUUUCCGAAGAAAACAAAAUGACUUUUCUUUGUAAUUUGUAUUAGUCUUUUUCUACAAAAGGUCUACUUGACACAUCUCAGGCUGCAGUGAAGGCUGUCCAGGUCAAGGCUCGCCAUCUCGUCUCUCAAAACAAACGAAGAUACCAGGAGGGAGGUCUAUAGCUACUAUAGACCGCCAAACCAAGUCUAGCAUGGAAGUUUCUCCCGCAUGGAAGCCUUCCCUAUUUCUGUUUUGAUUGCAGAGUGUUCUGUUUGGAUACACAAGUCAAG